RNAcentral lists this ribosomal RNA (1006 nucleotides) under Campylobacter coli. RNAcentral's name for it is "partial 23S ribosomal RNA". It matches the Rfam family "Bacterial large subunit ribosomal RNA", at positions 179 to 1188 of the family's 2925-position model. Lineage: Bacteria; Pseudomonadati; Campylobacterota; Epsilonproteobacteria; Campylobacterales; Campylobacteraceae. The record is from RNAcentral.
GCGAACGAGGGGAAUUGAAACAUCUUAGUACCCUCAGGAAAAGAAAUCAAUAGAGAUUGCGUCAGUAGCGGCGAGCGAAAGCGCAAGAGGGCAAACCCAGUGCUUGCACUGGGGGUUGUAGGACUGCAAUGUGCAAGAGGUGAGUUUAGCAGAACAUUCUGGAAAGUAUAGCCAUAGAGGGUGAUAGUCCCGUAUGCGAAAAACAAACCUUAGCUAGCAGUAUCCUGAGUAGGGCGGGACACGAGAAAUCCUGUCUGAAGCUGGGUCGACCACGAUCCAACCCUAAAUACUAAUACCAGAUCGAUAGUGCACAAGUACCGUGAGGGAAAGGUGAAAAGAACUGAGGUGAUCAGAGUGAAAUAGAACCUGAAACCAUUUGCUUACAAUCAUUCAGAGCCCUAUGUAGCAAUACAGGGUGAUGGACUGCCUUUUGCAUAAUGAGCCUGCGAGUUGUGGUGUCUGGCAAGGUUAAGCAAACGCGAAGCCGUAGCGAAAGCGAGUCUGAAUAGGGCGCUUAGUCAGAUGCUGCAGACCCGAAACGAAGUGAUCUAUCCAUGAGCAAGUUGAAGCUAGUGUAAGAACUAGUGGAGGACUGAACCCAUAGGCGUUGAAAAGCCCCGGGAUGACUUGUGGAUAGGGGUGAAAGGCCAAUCAAACUUCGUGAUAGCUGGUUCUCUCCGAAAUAUAUUUAGGUAUAGCGUUGUGUCGUAAUAUAAGGGGGUAGAGCACUGAAUGGGCUAGGGCAUACACCAAUGUACCAAACCCUAUCAAACUCCGAAUACCUUAUAUGUAAUCACAGCAGUCAGGCGGCGAGUGAUAAAAUCCGUCGUCAAGAGGGAAACAACCCAGACUACCAGCUAAGGUCCCUAAAUCUUACUUAAGUGGAAAACGAUGUGAAGUUACUUAAACAACCAGGAGGUUGGCUUAGAAGCAGCCAUCCUUUAAAGAAAGCGUAAUAGCUCACUGGUCUAGUGAUUUUGCGCGGAAAAUAUAACGGGGCUAAAGU